CUCCCCGGGCGUUCAGCUCCAGAUUCAAAGUGUCGUCCCCCAAAACCCCGAAAUAAAGGAGUGACAAACAGCCCUCCCAGGCCCUCCUCCCCACAGAGAGGUCAUCGUAUGCAAAUGAAGUCCGGGGAGGCAGCGGCGCAGCGCGGGAGAGCGCGCCCACGGGUUCACAGCGCUCCCGGGCCCCACUGCGGCGCAGCCACAAAUCGCCUCGCGCUGCAGCAGACCCUCCGCCGCGGGGGGCGACGGGGGAAGGGAUCUCGACCGCCGCCCUGAGUUUCGCAGCUGGAUCACUCCCAUCUGGGUGGUGGUUCUAGUUCUGGUCCCACGCUUUCCACUGCAGUGAUGGCGGGGAUGAGGGCAGCAAGUGAAAUCACCUGUAGGGCUUUUUCGAACUCCACAGCCCCUUCCCCUAAUUACAGUCCACUCCCUCAGACGAAGAAAAUCUCAAAGCAGGCAAGGGCAGGUGGGCCGGUGGAGUCUGCGAAAGCCCCACAGGUGAUUUCUGGGUACGCACCUCUCAAGACACAAACAUACACACGGACGCAUCUUGUGACUCCGAGACUACACACAUCAACCUUAGAUUCUCUUCCUGACCCUUCUCCCUGUAUUCUCCGAGGCGUCUGUGUUCUCUUCAGCCUCCCUUUAAGUCGCCUUGCUCCGGGGCUUGGUGGCGUGCCCCCAAAGUCCUAGAACCCCGCGGGACGGCAGGAGGCUUUGGCGGCCAGAUAUUAGGAAAAGCAGCCCCCGCUUCUCCGACUGCCUGGAGCGCGAACUGGGUAUCUAGUAGCCAAGGAUUGCUGAGCCUACCCAUUUUCCCUGGAUUUCGUUGGAGAAAAGAGACUAAGAGCCUGAGAACUUGAGCCAACUCUGCAGGAAGCAGCAGGACAAGAUGUGAAUGAUCUAAAGGACAGUGAUGGAUGCAAACCCUUUCCCAGCCCCCCUACACUGGAGUCACUGACAUGCUUUAUUCACAAACUCGUCAAGACCAUAAAAAUCCUUAGUGUACUCAUGACCUUUGUACCACCAAGGUGAAAGGAUGUGGCAUAAAUCCAAUAAGUUAUGGACAAUCUCUUAUUUGCUUUGUAUCUCUAGUACCUAGGUUGGAAAGUCCAAUAAACGUUUGUUGGAUGAAUGAA
Long non-coding RNA from Sapajus apella (tufted capuchin), 1136 nucleotides. RefSeq lists it as uncharacterized. The transcript is spliced from 3 exons. The record is from RefSeq and is a predicted model, not a curated record. NCBI's taxonomy places the organism in Eukaryota, Metazoa, Chordata, Mammalia, Primates, Cebidae.